Rana temporaria (common frog) is the source of this 222-nucleotide small nucleolar RNA. RefSeq annotates it as small nucleolar RNA U3. Lineage: Eukaryota; Metazoa; Chordata; Amphibia; Anura; Ranidae. The transcript has a single exon. The record is from RefSeq and is a predicted model, not a curated record.
AGGACAAUACUUUCAGGGAUCAUUUCUGUAGGAUUCAAAGGGAGAAAUGUGCUCGAAAGUGUCCAAACUCAACUUCCACGAUGAUGAAUUUUAGGGUUCUUGUCUCGUUAGUCGUUAUGACUCCUGCUGGCAGUGCUGCUAUGUGCAGGUGCUGCCACCAUUUGAUGACUUGGUCAUCUUUCUAGGUGGGAAGAUGGCAGACGGGAGCUCAUUCAGAGUGAA